Pristionchus pacificus is the source of this 61-nucleotide non-coding RNA. NCBI's taxonomy places the organism in Eukaryota, Metazoa, Nematoda, Chromadorea, Rhabditida, Neodiplogasteridae. The record is from Rfam.
UCUUCAUUUCACACACUCUCUCACCGGUCAGAGAGGCGAUAGAGUGUGCGAAAUGAAGAAA